RNAcentral lists this ribosomal RNA (468 nucleotides) under uncultured bacterium. Its description in RNAcentral is "partial 16S ribosomal RNA". It matches the Rfam family "Bacterial small subunit ribosomal RNA", at positions 28 to 507 of the family's 1533-position model. The record is from RNAcentral.
GACGAACGCUGGCGGCGUGCUUAACACAUGCAAGUCGAACGGAAAGGCCCUGCUUUUGUGGGGUGCUCGAGUGGCGAACGGGUGAGUAACACGUGAGUAACCUGCCCUUGACUUUGGGAUAACUUCAGGAAACUGGGGCUAAUACCGUAUAGGAGCUCCUGCAGCAUGGUGGGGGUUGGAACGUUUCGGCGGGUGGGGAUGGACUCGCGGCUUAUCAGCUUGUUGGUGGGGUAGUGGCUUACCCAGGCAUUGACGGGUAGCCGGCCUGAGAGGGUGACCGGCCACACUGGGACUGAGGUACGGCAGAGACUCCUACGGGAGGCAGAAGGGGGGAAUAUUGCACAAUGGACGGAGGCCUGAUGCAGCAACGCCGCGUGCGGGAUAGCGGCCUUCGGGUGAUAGACCGCUUUCGCCUGUGACGAAGCGGGAGUGACGGUAAUGGGUAAAGAAGCACCGGCUAACUACGUG